GUGGGGAAUCUUAGACAAUGGGGGAAACCCUGAUCUAGCCAUGCCGCGUGAGCGAUGAAGGCCUUAGGGUUGUAAAGCUCUUUCAGCUGGGAAGAUAAUGACGGUACCAGCAGAAGAAGCCCCGGCUAACUCCGUGCCAGCAGCCGCGGUAAUACGGAGGGGGCUAGCGUUGUUCGGAAUUACUGGGCGUAAAGCGCGCGUAGGCGGACCAGAAAGUUGGAGGUGAAAUCCCAGGGCUCAACCUUGGAACUGCCUUCAAAACUCCUGGUCUGGAGUUCGAGAGAGGUGAGUGGAAUUCCGAGUGUAGAGGUGAAAUUCGUAGAUAUUCGGAGGAACACCAGUGGCGAAGGCGGCUCACUGGCUCGAUACUGACGCUGAGGUGCGAAAGCGUGGGGAGCAAACAGGAUUAGAAACCCGUAGUCC
RNAcentral lists this ribosomal RNA (423 nucleotides) under uncultured bacterium. Its description in RNAcentral is "partial 16S ribosomal RNA". It matches the Rfam family "Bacterial small subunit ribosomal RNA", at positions 354 to 796 of the family's 1533-position model. The record is from RNAcentral.